AACGAACGCUGGCGGCGCGCCUAAUACAUGCAAGUCGAGCGAGAAGACGUAGCAAUACGUUUGUAAGCGGCGAACGGGUGAGGAAUACAUGGGUAACCUACCCUCGAGUGGGAAUAACUAGCCGAAGGUUAGCUAAUACCGCGUACGCUCCUUGGACUUCGGUUCAGGGAGGAAAGCGAUACCGUGGGUAUCGCGCUCUUGGAUGGGCUCAUGUCCUAUCAGCUUGUUGGUGAGGAACGGCUCACCAAGGCUUCGACGGGUAGCUGGUCUGAGAGGACGAUCAGCCACACUGGCA
This 295-nucleotide ribosomal RNA is filed under the name uncultured bacterium. RNAcentral describes it as "partial 16S ribosomal RNA". It matches the Rfam family "Bacterial small subunit ribosomal RNA", at positions 29 to 318 of the family's 1533-position model. The record is from RNAcentral.